GAUGAACGCUGGCGGCGUGCCUAAUACAUGCAAGUCGAGCGAACAGAUGAGGAGCUUGCUCCUCUGACGUUAGCGGCGGACGGGUGAGUAACGCGUGGAUAACCUACCUAUAAGACUGGGAUAACUUCGGGAAACCGGAGCUAAUACCGGAUAAUAUAUUGAACCGCAUGGUUCAAUAGUGAAAGACGGUUUUGCUGUCACUUAUAGAUGGAUCCGCGCCGCAUUAGCUAGUUGGUAAGGUAACGGCUUACCAAGGCAACGAUGCGUAGCCGACCUGAGAGAGUGAUCGGCCACACUGGAACUUAGACACGGUCCAGACUCCUACGGGAGGCAGCAGUAGGGAAUCUUCCGCAAUGGGCGAAAGCCUGACGGAGCAACGCCGCGUGAGUGAUGAAGGUCUUCGGAUCGUAAAACUCUGUUAUUAGGGAAGAACAAAUGUGUAAGUAACUAUGCACGUCUUGACGGUACCUAAUCAGAAAGCCACGGCUAACUACGUG
This 497-nucleotide ribosomal RNA is filed under the name uncultured bacterium. RNAcentral's name for it is "partial 16S ribosomal RNA". It matches the Rfam family "Bacterial small subunit ribosomal RNA", at positions 28 to 507 of the family's 1533-position model. The record is from RNAcentral.